This 440-nucleotide ribosomal RNA is filed under the name uncultured bacterium. Its description in RNAcentral is "partial 16S ribosomal RNA". It matches the Rfam family "Bacterial small subunit ribosomal RNA", at positions 338 to 795 of the family's 1533-position model. The record is from RNAcentral.
CCUACGGGUGACAGCAGUGGGGAAUAUUGCACAAUGGGGGAAACCCUGAUGCAGCGACGCCGCUGGAGUGAAGAAGUAUUUCGGUAUGUAAAGCUCUAUCAGCAGGGAAGAAAAUGACGGUAACUGAUUAAGAAGCCCCGGCUAACUACGCGCCAGCAGCCGCGGUAAUACGUAGGGGGCAAGCGUUAUACGGAUUUACGGGGUGGAAAGGGAGCGUAGACGGCAGCACAAGUCUGGAGUGAAAUGCCGGGGCUUAACCCCGGAACUGCUUUGGAAACUGUGCAGCUAGAGUGCAGGAGAGGUAAGUGGAAUUCCUAGUGUAGCGGUGAAAUGCGUAGAUAUUAGGAGGAACACCAGUGGCGAAGGCGGCUUACUGGACUGUAACUGACGUUGAGGCUCGAAAGCGUGGGGAGCAAACAGGAUUAGAUACCCGGGUAGUC